This is a non-coding RNA of Acanthosepion pharaonis, 113 nucleotides long. The record is from the annotation of a GenBank genome assembly. Lineage: Eukaryota; Metazoa; Mollusca; Cephalopoda; Sepiida; Sepiidae.
UUGCGUUCAAAUCGCGCUGAAACGCUGGUUCUCGUGUGUCCACCAAAAUUAAGCAACGUUGAGCUUGGUUAAUACCUUGAUGGGUGACCACUUGGGAAUACCAAGUAUUGUAA